RNAcentral lists this ribosomal RNA (498 nucleotides) under uncultured bacterium. Its description in RNAcentral is "partial 16S ribosomal RNA". It matches the Rfam family "Bacterial small subunit ribosomal RNA", at positions 30 to 523 of the family's 1533-position model. The record is from RNAcentral.
AUUGAACGCUGGCGGCAUGCCUUACACAUGCAAGUCGAACGGAUUUUGGGGCUUGCUCCAAAGUUAGUGGCGAACGGGUGAGUAAAGCAUCGGAACGUACCCAGUCGUGGGGGAUAACGUAGCGAAAGUUACGCUAAUACCGCAUACGAUCUGAGGAUGAGAGCGGGGGACCUGCGGGCCUCGCGCGAUUGGACCGGCCGAUGUCGGAUUAGCUAGUUGGUGAGGUAAAGGCUCACCAAGGCGACGAUCCGUAGCUGGUCUGAGAGGACGACCAGCCACACUGGGACUGAGACACGGCCCAGACUCCUACGGGAGGCAGCAGUGGGGAAUUUUGGACAAUGGGCGAAAGCCUGAUCCAGCCAUGCCGCGUGAGUGAAGAAGGCCUUCGGGUUGUAAAGCUCUUUCAGACGGAAAGAAAUCUCUCGGGUGAAUAUCCCGGGAGGAUGACGGUACCGUAAGAAGAAGCACCGGCUAACUACGUGCCAGCCGCCGCAGUAA